This 204-nucleotide ribosomal RNA is filed under the name uncultured bacterium. RNAcentral's name for it is "partial 16S ribosomal RNA". It matches the Rfam family "Bacterial small subunit ribosomal RNA", at positions 1297 to 1500 of the family's 1533-position model. The record is from RNAcentral.
AUUGAAGGCUGAAAUUCGCCUUUAUGAAGCCGGAAUUGCUAGUAAUGGCAGGUCAGCAUACUGCCGUGAAUACGUUCCCGGGCCUUGUACACACCGCCCGUCACACCAUGAGAGUUGGAAAUACCCGAAGCCUGUGAGCUGACCGUAAGGGGGCAGCAGUCGAAGGUAGAGCCAAUGAUUGGGGUGAAGUCGUAACAAGGUAUC